This 24-nucleotide non-coding RNA is filed under the name Cricetulus griseus (Chinese hamster). Lineage: Eukaryota; Metazoa; Chordata; Mammalia; Rodentia; Cricetidae. The record is from RNAcentral.
AACUGUGAGAAAUCUGCCUUAAGU